This is a long non-coding RNA of Schistocerca serialis cubense, 440 nucleotides long. RefSeq lists it as uncharacterized. The record is from RefSeq and is a predicted model, not a curated record. The transcript is spliced from 3 exons. NCBI's taxonomy places the organism in Eukaryota, Metazoa, Arthropoda, Insecta, Orthoptera, Acrididae.
GAUUUCUGUUACUUCUGCGAUUUCUGUGACUCCUGCGAUUUCUGCGACUUACGACCGUUUGAAAAAGUUACAUCUGUCCACACAGAAAAUUGCAUCUCAACAAACCUGUCAUUGGCACACGAACUACAUUUUAGUCACUCAGUAAAGUGAUAACUCAAAAUAUCACUGUCAACAGAUCUGGAGAAAUUGCCACUGCGUCUUUAGACCGUUUUCGUCAGACGAGAGACACAGUUCUGACUCUGAUUACCGGUUGCUGUACGUAUCUAUCCACAUCAAGGCUGUUGAGAGAGACUCGUGAAGAUUCAAGACAGCUCUUAGAAGAUUUUGCAGUUUAAAAGUGACAUAAUUGUGAAAUAAGUGUGCAGAUGAGUGAUUAAACUGUGUUUUAUUGAAGUUGUUGUGCGAUUUUAAAGGAAUAAUAAAUGUUAAAUACAGUGAGU